Molecule: ribosomal RNA, 467 nt
Filed under: uncultured bacterium
Lineage: Bacteria
Description: partial 16S ribosomal RNA
Rfam family: Bacterial small subunit ribosomal RNA
Source: RNAcentral
ACGAACGCUGGCGGCGUGCUUAACCCCUGCAAGUUGAACGGAAAGGCCCUGCUUUUGUGGGGUGCUCGAGUGGCAAACGGGUGAGUAACACGUGAGUAACCUGCCCUUGACUUUGGGAUAACUUCAGGAAACUGGGGCUAAUACCGGAUAGGAGCUCCUGCUGCAUGGUGGGGGUUGGAAAGUUUCGGCGGUUGGGGAUGGACUCGCGGCUUAUCAGCUUGUUGGUGGGGUAGUGGCUUACCAAGGCUUUGACGGGUAGCCGGCCUGAGAGGGUGACCGGCCACAUUGGGACUGAGAUACGGCCCAGACUCCUACGGGAGGCAGCAGUGGGGAAUAUUGCACAAUGGGCGGAAGCCUGAUGCAGCAACGCCGCGUGCGGGAUGACGGCCUUCGGGUUGUAAACCGCUUUCGCCUGUGACGAAGCGUGAGUGACGGUAAUGGGUAAAGAAGCACCGGCUAACUACGUG